RNAcentral lists this ribosomal RNA (251 nucleotides) under uncultured prokaryote. Its description in RNAcentral is "partial 16S rRNA". It matches the Rfam family "Bacterial small subunit ribosomal RNA", at positions 525 to 775 of the family's 1533-position model. The record is from RNAcentral.
ACGGAGGAUGCAAGCGUUAUCCGGAUUUAUUAGGUUUAAAGGGUGCGUAGGCGGUACAGUAAGUCAGGGGUGAAAACCAGUUGCUCAACAACUGGCUUGCCUUUGAUACUGCUGAACUUGAGUGCAGACGAAGUACGCGGAAUGUGUAAUGUAGCGGUGAAAUGCAUAGAUAUUACACAGAACACCGAUAGCGAAGGCAGCGUACUAGGGUGUAACUGACGCUGAGGCACGAAAGCGUGGGGAUCAAACAG